Molecule: ribosomal RNA, 478 nt
Filed under: uncultured bacterium
Lineage: Bacteria
Description: partial 16S ribosomal RNA
Rfam family: Bacterial small subunit ribosomal RNA
Source: RNAcentral
GACGAACGCUGGCGGCGUGCUUAACACAUGCAAGUCGAACGGUAAGGCCCUUCGGGGUACACGAGUGGCGAACGGGUGAGUAACACGUGGGUGAUCUGCCCUGCACUUCGGGAUAAGCCUGGGAAACUGGGUCUAAUACCGGAUAGGACCACUGCCUGCAUGGGGGGUGGUGGAAAGCUUUUGCGGGGUGGGAUGGGCCCGCGGCCUGUCAGCUUGUUGGUGGGGGGAUGGCCUACCAAGGCGACGACGGGUAGCCGGCCUGGGAGGGUGACCGGCCACACGGGGACUGAGAUACGGCCCAGACUCCUACGGGAGGCAGCAGUGGGGAAUAUUGCACAAUGGGCGCAAGCCUGAUGCAGCGACGCCGCGUGAGGGAUGACGGCCUUCGGGUUGUAAACCUCUUUCAGCACCGACGAAGCGCAAGUGACGGUAGGUGCAGAAGAAGGACCGGCCAACUACGUGCCAGCCGCCGCAGUAA